UGUGCGUAAUUUAAAAAAAAUGCCAAGCUGUGACCUUGCCCAUAGGAAACCCUCCUCGCACAUC
This 64-nucleotide transfer RNA is filed under the name Calliophis intestinalis (Banded Malaysian coral snake). Its description in RNAcentral is "tRNA-His". Lineage: Eukaryota; Metazoa; Chordata; Lepidosauria; Squamata; Elapidae. The record is from RNAcentral.